CAGUCGCCGCGGUAGUACGAAGGGGGCUAGCGUUGUUCGGAUUAACUGGGCGUAAAGGGUGCGUAGGCGGGGUUUCAAGUCAGGGGUGAAAUGCCGAGGCUCAACUUCGGAACUGCCUUUGAUACUGGAACUCUUGAGUCCGGGAGAGGUGAGUGGAACUGCGAGUGUAGAGGUGAAAUUCGUAGAUAUUCGCAAGAACACCAGUGGCGAAGGCGGCUCACUGGCCCGGUACUGACGCUGAGGCACGAAAGCGUGGGGAGCAAACAGGAUUAGAUACCCCCGUAGUCCCUGUCUCUUAUAC
Molecule: ribosomal RNA, 301 nt
Filed under: uncultured bacterium
Lineage: Bacteria
Description: partial 16S ribosomal RNA
Rfam family: Bacterial small subunit ribosomal RNA
Source: RNAcentral